CCUACGGGAGGCAGCAGUGGGGAAUAUUGCACAAUGGGGGAAACCCUGAUGCAGCGACGCCGCGUGAGUGAAGAAGUAUUUCGGUAUGUAAAGCUCUAUCAGCAGGGAAGAAAAUGACGGUACCUGAUUAAGAAGCCCCGGCUAACUACGUGCCAGCAGCCGCGGUCAUACGUCGGGGGCAAGCGUUCUCCGGAUUUACUGGGUGUAAAGGGAGCGUAGAUGGCAGCACAAGUCUGGAGUGAAAUGCCGGGGCUUAACCCCGGAACUGCUUUGGAAACUGUGCAGCUAGAGUGCAGGAGAGGUAAGUGGAAUUCCUAGUGUAGCGGUGAAAUGCGUAGAGAUUAGGAGGAACACCAGAGGCGAAGGCGGCUUACUGGACUGUAACUGACGUUGAGGCGCGAAAGCGUGGGGAGCAAACAGGAUUAGAUACCCCAGUAGUC
This 440-nucleotide ribosomal RNA is filed under the name uncultured bacterium. RNAcentral describes it as "partial 16S ribosomal RNA". It matches the Rfam family "Bacterial small subunit ribosomal RNA", at positions 338 to 795 of the family's 1533-position model. The record is from RNAcentral.